AGCGAACGCUGGCGGCAUGCCUAACACAUGCAAGUCGCACGGGGGGGCUUCGGCCUCCCAGUGGCGGACGGGUGAGGAACGCGUAGGGACCUGUCGAGGGGUGGGGGAUAACCGCGGGAAACUGCGUCUAAUACCGCAUGACGCCGCGGCGUGACAGCCGGGGCCAAAGGCGAAAGCCGCCCGCCGAGGGGCCUGCGUCCGAUUAGCUGGUUGGCGGGGUAGCGGCCCACCAAGGCGUCGAUCGGUAGCUGGUCUGAGAGGGUGAUCAGCCACACCGGGACUGAGACACGGCCCGGACUCCUACGGGAGGCAGCAGUGGGGAAUAUUGGACAAUGGGCGCAAGCCUGAUCCAGCAAGGCCGCGUGGGUGAAGAAGGUCUUCGGAUUGUAAAGCCCUUUCGGCGGGGACGAUGGUGACGGUACCCGCAGAAGAAGCCCCGGCUAACUUCGUG
Molecule: ribosomal RNA, 451 nt
Filed under: uncultured bacterium
Lineage: Bacteria
Description: partial 16S ribosomal RNA
Rfam family: Bacterial small subunit ribosomal RNA
Source: RNAcentral